Molecule: long non-coding RNA, 200 nt
Organism: Solenopsis invicta (red fire ant)
Lineage: Eukaryota; Metazoa; Arthropoda; Insecta; Hymenoptera; Formicidae
Exons: 2
Source: RefSeq, a predicted model, not a curated record
UCCGUCGUGACAGGUUCUUUAACCUGAUCUUUAUUCGUCAGUCAUUAACAAUAAUCUUGACAUAAGGAUUGCAUUGAACAUUGAGCUACAAAAUAAAUUAUGAUCAGAAAUAUUUAAAUAGUCCGUCAGUGGAGGAGACAGACGUUGAGCUGCAAAUAGAUAAUAAAAUAUCAUUACAAGAACACGAUGCCAAUAUUGAA